UACGGGGGGGGCAAGCGUUGUUCGGAAUUACUGGGCGUAAAGGGCUCGUAGGCGGCCAACUAAGUCAUACGUGAAAUCCCUCGGCUUAACCGGGGAACUGCGUCUGAUACUGGAUGGCUUGAAUCCGGGAGAGGGAUGCGGAAUUCCAGGUGUAGCGGUGAAAUGCGUAGAUAUCUGGAGGAACACCGGUGGCGAAGGCGGCAUCCUGGACCGGCAUUGACGCUGAGGAGCGAAAGCCAGGGGAGCAAACGGG
This 253-nucleotide ribosomal RNA is filed under the name uncultured bacterium. Its description in RNAcentral is "partial 16S ribosomal RNA". It matches the Rfam family "Bacterial small subunit ribosomal RNA", at positions 524 to 776 of the family's 1533-position model. The record is from RNAcentral.